GCGAUUCGGCAUGGUCUGAUUAUUGAUUGUCUUGUUGUUAUGUUUGGUUGAUUUGUGGCGUUGUUGGUAAAAUAUUAUUUUGUUGUUGUAAUUUUCUUUUGAUUUAAUUUUUUUGCGAUAGUUUAUUUGUACUGUGAGGGGUCGAUGUUGUUUUUUUGGAAGCAGACUUGUUUUGUUGUACCUUGUGUAUCAGGGUUCAUUGAAUUUUAUUAUUUAUUUUUAUUUCCCGAUUUUGAAAGAGUUAGUGGUUUAUUUUAGUUACUGUUUCAUAAGUAUUAAGGAUAGGCUGUUGGUAGUGAAAUGUUAUUCGUUUUUAGUGGUUUCUGGUUUUUCAAGAAAUGAAUUUAAUUCAUGCGUCUUGUUUUAGGUUUAUACUGUUGUUUAUUUGUCUUUAUUAGGCGUUAAGAUUAAGGGGGACUAGCUCCUUGUUUUGUUUUUAUAAUUUUUGUUUGUUAUUUAAUUUUGUGGAUUUUAUAGUGAUUUUCAAUUUGAUUAUGUUAAAAUUUUAUUUGUUUCUUUUGUUAUUUUGGUUUGAUUUAAUUAUUUAUUGGAAUGUUUUCUUUACUUUUUAUUGAAUUGUAAUUAUUGUGGAAUUAGUAAAUUUGUUUGUUGUGUUGUUUUAUUUUUGUGUAAUUUCUUUUGAGGAAUUAGGCAAAUUUUGUGUCCGCCUGUUUAACAAAAACAUCUUUUCUUGUUAGUUUUUGAAGUAUGGCCUGCCCGCUGACAUUUGGUGUUGAAGGGCCGCGGUAUUUUGACCGUGCAAAGGUAGCAUAAUCAUUAGUUCUUUAAUUGUGAUCUGGAAUGAAUGGCUUGACGAGGCACGGGCUGUCUUAGUGUUGAAUGUUUUAUUGAAUUUGGUCUUUGAGUUAAAAUUCUUAGAUGUUUUUGUGGGACGAGAAGACCCUAUAGAGUUUGACAUUUGGUUUAUUUACUUAUUGUUGUUUGUUUGUUUUUGGUGAGUGAGCUUUUUGUUUUGUUGGGGUGAUGGGAGGAAUGUGCUUAACUCCUCUUGGUUUUGGUUAUAUUGAUUUAUAGUUGUUUGAUCCAUUUAUUUUGAUUGUAAGACUAAAUUACCUUAGGGAUAACAGCGUUAUCUUCCUUGAGAGUUCUUAUCGGCAGGGGGGUUUGCGACCUCGAUGUUGGAUUAAGGUGAAUUUUUGGUGUAGGGGCUGAAAAUUGUAUUAGGUCUGUUCGACCUUUGGAAUCUUACAUGAUCUGAGUUCAAACCGGCGUGAGCCAGGUUGGUUUCUAUCUAUAAGUAUAGUUUUAUACCUUAGUACGAGAGGACCAGGUAUUUGGAAUAAUUUUGUUGUUGUUGAAUUUUAUUAACUGACUAUUUUGGCAGAUAAGUGCGUUGGAUUUAGAAUCUAUUAA
This 1374-nucleotide ribosomal RNA is filed under the name Coptotermes heimi. Its description in RNAcentral is "16S ribosomal RNA". The stretch from base 1081 to 1243 matches the Rfam family "Bacterial large subunit ribosomal RNA", at positions 2473 to 2632 of the family's 2925-position model. The record is from RNAcentral. Lineage: Eukaryota; Metazoa; Arthropoda; Insecta; Blattodea; Rhinotermitidae.